This 345-nucleotide unclassified non-coding RNA is filed under the name soil metagenome. RNAcentral's name for it is "partial contains 5.8S ribosomal RNA, internal transcribed spacer 2, and large subunit ribosomal RNA". The stretch from base 1 to 121 matches the Rfam family "5.8S ribosomal RNA", at positions 35 to 154 of the family's 154-position model. The record is from RNAcentral.
GAUGAAGAACGUAGCGAAAUGCGAUAAGUAAUGCGAAUUGCAGAAUUUCCGUGAGUCAUCGAAUCUUUGAACGCACAUUGCGCCCACUGGUAUUCCGGUGGGCAUGCCUGUUCGAGCGUCAUUAUCCUCCCUCAAACCCCGGGUUUGGUGUUGGACCCAAGUUGUGUGAACAACUGGUCUCAAAGACAAUGGCGGCGUCCGUGGGACCCUCGGUGCAACGAGCUUUUAGGAGCACGCGCCGAGUUGCAAGGACCUUCCGGGCCGGUCUCCUUUACUAUUUUACAAGGUUGACCUCGGAUCAGGUAGGAAUACCCGCUGAACUUAAGCAUAUCAAUAAGCGGAGGA